This 497-nucleotide ribosomal RNA is filed under the name uncultured bacterium. Its description in RNAcentral is "partial 16S ribosomal RNA". It matches the Rfam family "Bacterial small subunit ribosomal RNA", at positions 28 to 507 of the family's 1533-position model. The record is from RNAcentral.
GAUGAACGCUGGCGGCGUGCCUAAUACAUGCAAGUCGAGCGAACGGACGAGAAGCUUGCUCCUCUGACGUUAGCGGCGGACGGGUGAGUAACACGUGGAUAACCUACCUAUAAGACUGGGAUAACUUCGGGAAACCGGAGCUAAUACCGGAUAAUAUAUUGAACCGCAUGGUUCAAUAGUGAAAGACGGUUUUGCUGUCACUUAUAGAUGGAUCCGCGCUGCAUUAGCUAGUUGGUAAGGUAACGGCUUACCAAGGCAACGAUGCAUAGCCGACCUGAGAGGGUGAUCGGCCACACUGGAACUGAGACACGGUCCAGACUCCUACGGGAGGCAGCAGUAGGGAAUCUUCCGCAAUGGGCGAAAGCUUGACGGAGCAACGCCGCGUGAGUGAUGAAGGUCUUCGGAUCGUAAAACUCUGUUAUUAGGGAAGAACAAAUGUGUAAGUAACUAUGCACGUCUUGACGGUACCUAAUCAGAAAGCCACGGCUAACUACGUG